AAAUUGAAGAGUUUGAUCAUGGCUCAGAUUGAACGCUGGCGGCAGGCCUAACACAUGCAAGUCGAACGGUAGCACAGAGAGCUUGCUCUCGGGUGACGAGUGGCGGACGGGUGAGUAAUGUCUGGGAAACUGCCCGAUGGAGGGGGAUAACUACUGGAAACGGUAGCUAAUACCGCAUAACGUCGCAAGACCAAAGUGGGGGACCUUCGGGCCUCACACCAUCGGAUGUGCCCAGAUGGGAUUAGCUAGUAGGUGGGGUAACGGCUCACCUAGGCGACGAUCCCUAGCUGGUCUGAGAGGAUGACCAGCCACACUGGAACUGAGACACGGUCCAGACUCCUACGGGAGGCAGCAGUGGGGAAUAUUGCACAAUGGGCGCAAGCCUGAUGCAGCCAUGCCGCGUGUAUGAAGAAGGCCUUCGGGUUGUAAAGUACUUUCAGCGAGGAGGAAGGCGUUGUGGUUAAUAACCACAGCGAUUGACGUUACUCGCAGAAGAAGCACCGGCUAACUCCGUGCCAGCAGCCGCGGUAAUACGGAGGGUGCAAGCGUUAAUCGGAAUUACUGGGCGUAAAGCGCACGCAGGCGGUUUGUUAAGUCAGAUGUGAAAU
Molecule: ribosomal RNA, 608 nt
Filed under: Salmonella enterica
Lineage: Bacteria; Pseudomonadati; Pseudomonadota; Gammaproteobacteria; Enterobacterales; Enterobacteriaceae
Also listed under: 1 other name
Description: bacterial SSU rRNA
Rfam family: Bacterial small subunit ribosomal RNA
Source: RNAcentral